GCUUCCAUAGCUCAGUAGGUAGAGCACUUCCAUGGUAAGGAAGAGGUCAGCGGUUCGAAUCCGCUUGGGAGCU
RNAcentral lists this transfer RNA (73 nucleotides) under Vibrio vulnificus. Its description in RNAcentral is "tRNA-Thr". It matches the Rfam family "tRNA". Rfam says of the family: Transfer RNA (tRNA) molecules are approximately 80 nucleotides in length. Their secondary structure includes four short double-helical elements and three loops (D, anti-codon, and T loops). The record is from RNAcentral. RNAcentral also lists the same sequence under 101 other names. Lineage: Bacteria; Pseudomonadati; Pseudomonadota; Gammaproteobacteria; Vibrionales; Vibrionaceae.